UAACCUCAAUUCAUCAGCUUUGCGGUUGCUUGGAUUGGAUUUGGAAGUCUGCUGGCCCCUCUUGGGGUUGGCUCUUCUUGAAUGCAUGAGUGAGCAUCUGGCUCGCGUUGCUGAUGUGAUAGUCUUUCAUCAUUGGCUGCGCUUGUCUAACGGGCUUGCUUUCGAACCGUCUUCUCAAUGGAGACAACGUUUUUGACAUU
RNAcentral lists this unclassified non-coding RNA (200 nucleotides) under uncultured Hymenochaete. Its description in RNAcentral is "sequence contains ITS2". The record is from RNAcentral. Lineage: Eukaryota; Fungi; Basidiomycota; Agaricomycetes; Hymenochaetales; Hymenochaetaceae.